Molecule: ribosomal RNA, 226 nt
Filed under: uncultured bacterium
Lineage: Bacteria
Description: partial 16S ribosomal RNA
Rfam family: Bacterial small subunit ribosomal RNA
Source: RNAcentral
GAUCAUGGCUCAGGAUGAACGCUAGCUACAGGCUUAACACAUGCAAGUCGAGGGGCAGCAUGGUCUUAGCUUGCUAAGGCCGAUGGCGACCGGCGCACGGGUGAGUAACACGUAUCCAACCUGCCGUCUACUUUUGGACAGCCUCCUGAAAGGAAGAUUAAUACAAGAUGGCAUCAUGAGUCCGCAUGUUCACAUGAUUAAAGGUAUUACCGGGUAGACGAUGGGG